Molecule: ribosomal RNA, 503 nt
Filed under: Bacillus amyloliquefaciens
Lineage: Bacteria; Bacillati; Bacillota; Bacilli; Caryophanales; Bacillaceae
Description: bacterial SSU rRNA
Rfam family: Bacterial small subunit ribosomal RNA
Source: RNAcentral
UUAUCGGAGAGUUUGAUCCUGGCUCAGGACGAACGCUGGCGGCGUGCCUAAUACAUGCAAGUCGAGCGGACAGAUGGGAGCUUGCUCCCUGAUGUUAGCGGCGGACGGGUGAGUAACACGUGGGUAACCUGCCUGUAAGACUGGGAUAACUCCGGGAAACCGGGGCUAAUACCGGAUGCUUGUUUGAACCGCAUGGUUCAGACAUAAAAGGUGGCUUCGGCUACCACUUACAGAUGGACCCGCGGCGCAUUAGCUAGUUGGUGAGGUAACGGCUCACCAAGGCGACGAUGCGUAGCCGACCUGAGAGGGUGAUCGGCCACACUGGGACUGAGACACGGCCCAGACUCCUACGGGAGGCAGCAGUAGGGAAUCUUCCGCAAUGGACGAAAGUCUGACGGAGCAACGCCGCGUGAGUGAUGAAGGUUUUCGGAUCGUAAAGCUCUGUUGUUAGGUAGGAAUAAGUGCAGUUAAAAUAGAGCGGCACAUUGACGGUACCUAACAUG